RNAcentral lists this ribosomal RNA (769 nucleotides) under Serratia marcescens. Its description in RNAcentral is "bacterial LSU rRNA". It matches the Rfam family "Bacterial large subunit ribosomal RNA", at positions 1490 to 2234 of the family's 2925-position model. The record is from RNAcentral. Lineage: Bacteria; Pseudomonadati; Pseudomonadota; Gammaproteobacteria; Enterobacterales; Yersiniaceae.
GCCGGGCGACGGUUGUCCCGGUUUAAGCGUGUAGGGGGUGUGACCUGGUAAAUCCGGUUGCAUACUAACCCUGAGGCGUGAUGACGAUGCACUACGGUGCAGAAGUAGUUGAUGCCCUGCUUCCAGGAAAAUCCUCUAAGCUCCAGGUAACAUUAAAUCGUACCCCAAACCGACACAGGUGGUCAGGUAGAGAAUACCAAGGCGCUUGAGAGAACUCGGGUGAAGGAACUAGGCAAAAUGGUGCCGUAACUUCGGGAGAAGGCACGCUGGCAUGUAGGUGAAGUCCCUCGCGGAUGGAGCUGAAGCCAGUCGAAGAUACCAGCUGGCUGCAACUGUUUAAUAAAAACACAGCACUGUGCAAACACGAAAGUGGACGUAUACGGUGUGACGCCUGCCCGGUGCUGGAAGGUUAAUUGAUGGGGUCAGCCGCAAGGCGAAGCUCUUGAUCGAAGCCCCAGUAAACGGCGGCCGUAACUAUAACGGUCCUAAGGUAGCGAAAUUCCUUGUCGGGUAAGUUCCGACCUGCACGAAUGGCGUAAUGAUGGCCAGGCUGUCUCCACCCGAGACUCAGUGAAAUUGAACUCGCUGUGAAGAUGCAGUGUACCCGCGGCAAGACGGAAAGACCCCGUGAACCUUUACUAUAGCUUGACACUGAACAUUGAGCCUUGAUGUGUAGGAUAGGUGGGAGGCUUUGAAGCGUGGACGCCAGUCUGCGUGGAGCCAUCCUUGAAAUACCACCCUUUAAUGUUUGAUGUUCUAACUCGGCCCC